RNAcentral lists this ribosomal RNA (421 nucleotides) under uncultured bacterium. Its description in RNAcentral is "bacterial SSU rRNA". It matches the Rfam family "Bacterial small subunit ribosomal RNA", at positions 64 to 480 of the family's 1533-position model. The record is from RNAcentral.
GAGCGGUAGAGAGAAGCUUGCUUCUCUUGAGAGCGGCGGACGGGUGAGUAAUGCCUAGGAAUCUGCCUGGUAGUGGGGGAUAACGCUCGGAAACGGACGCUAAUACCGCAUACGUCCUACGGGAGAAAGCAGGGGACCUUCGGGCCUUGCGCUAUCAGAUGAGCCUAGGUCGGAUUAGCUAGUUGGUGAGGUAAUGGCUCACCAAGGCGACGAUCCGUAACUGGUCUGAGAGGAUGAUCAGUCACACUGGAACUGAGACACGGUCCAGACUCCUACGGGAGGCAGCAGUGGGGAAUAUUGGACAAUGGGCGAAAGCCUGAUCCAGCCAUGCCGCGUGUGUGAAGAAGGUCUUCGGAUUGUAAAGCACUUUAAGUUGGGAGGAAGGGCAUUAACCUAAUACGUUGGUGUCUUGACGUUACCG